UUCGCCGUGGAAAACCCCUCCGGGUUGUCGGCGGGUGCGGAGCGCUCGCCGAGCGGCCGGGGCUGUCGCGUCUUUUCCUCUGUCCCGCGGAGUGUAAGGCGGCCUGCUGCUCUGAGCGGCUCGCCGCCGCCAGGCGGGAAGCCGUGUAGGCUUGGGCCUCCCACGGGUGUGGAGACUCUGAGGAGAAAGACCUUGCAGUCCUUGAAGUGAAAUGGCGGGAAAGCUCACUUGGCAAGGUCGUUUGCGAACGCACUGGAAAAGUGUGGCACUUGGGAGCAGCAUCUGGGUGGAAUUUAUCUGACUGGGCAUACAGCAUUCUCUCCGUGUGUGUCACUUCACGUUGUCACUCGAAAAUAGCUUCUACAAAAACUGCCGAGCGCUCCUGUGCUCGGGUAAUCAUUUGCUUAAGGUCCCUGCUCCUCGCCCAGCAGGUUGCCCUCCAAGCGCCAAAACCUUAAAACGGAUUUCCACGGAAUUAAAAAUAAGCCUCAGACUGGGCAGUCUAUAUCAGCUGAAAUUUAAACUACACAUGUUCUUUGGCCUAGAAGUUGACUGCUAGGAAUUAACCAUAUAAAUAUCUUUGGAAAAGUGCAGUCUGUGGGAUUUGAGUGAACUUAGAAGGUACUUCAGAGCUGACUUUUAAAGAAUGAAAGUGACUGAAUGAUAGAAAAAAAGCUGAGAAAAGAUAUAGAAGAAAAAGACUACAUUGCCCCUCCCCCCAUUUUGACCCACCCCUGUCUUCAGCUACCUUCAGAUAUUGUUGAUCAGCAGCAGCAGAAAGAGUUCCUCCAAAAGGCAGCUGUUACUAGAAGAUCUUCUUUCUCAAUUCCAAGGUAGCAGUGAUUGGAUAGAGAACACAUCUUAGAUGAAUUAAAAACACAGAACAAGAGGAAUAAGCUGGGAUUUAUCCCAGCAAGGGCUACUGUACAGUGAACUUAACAAUACUCUCAAGUUAUCACCUUCUAUCCAGAUCAGGAACCUUGAGUAGUCAUCACAUCAGCCUUAUAUUCAUAGAUUUUAGAGAUCUACAAUGUCAAUUCGACGACAAUGGAUAGAAGCUUCCAUGGGAAGUGUGUGACUUCUUGAAAAAAUAUGGAAGAAAAAUGAGUGACUAUUUUGACCUUUAGUUUUAUGAAAUUUCAUAUAACAGAAUCU
This is a long non-coding RNA of Talpa occidentalis (Iberian mole), 1155 nucleotides long. RefSeq lists it as uncharacterized. The transcript is spliced from 7 exons. NCBI's taxonomy places the organism in Eukaryota, Metazoa, Chordata, Mammalia, Eulipotyphla, Talpidae. The record is from RefSeq and is a predicted model, not a curated record.